AAACUUUCAACAACGGAUCUCUUGGCUCUGGCAUCGAUGAAGAACGCAGCGAAAUGCGAUAAGUAAUGUGAAUUGCAGAAUUUAGUGAAUCAUCGAAUCUUUGAACGCACAUUGCGCCCCUUGGUAUUCUGGGGGGCAUGCCUGUUCGAGCGUCAUUUA
This 159-nucleotide ribosomal RNA is filed under the name Helotiaceae sp. PDD 105252. Its description in RNAcentral is "5.8S ribosomal RNA". It matches the Rfam family "5.8S ribosomal RNA". Rfam says of the family: 5.8S ribosomal RNA (5.8S rRNA) is a component of the large subunit of the eukaryotic ribosome. It is transcribed by RNA polymerase I as part of the 45S precursor that also contains 18S and 28S rRNA. Lineage: Eukaryota; Fungi; Ascomycota; Leotiomycetes; Helotiales. The record is from RNAcentral.